This 472-nucleotide ribosomal RNA is filed under the name uncultured bacterium. RNAcentral describes it as "bacterial SSU rRNA". It matches the Rfam family "Bacterial small subunit ribosomal RNA", at positions 355 to 825 of the family's 1533-position model. The record is from RNAcentral.
UCGCGAAUCAUUCACAAUGGACGCAAGUCUGAUGAUGCCACGCCGCGUGCGGGAUGAAGGCCCUCGGGUUGUAAACCGCUUUUGUCAGGGAAGAAACGCUCUGGGCUAAUACCCUGGGGUAAUGACGGUACCUGAAGAAUAAGCACCGGCUAACUACGUGCCAGCAGCCGCGGUAAUACGUAGGGUGCAAGCGUUAAUCGGAAUUACUGGGCGUAAAGCGUGCGCAGGCGGUUAUGCAAGACAGAUGUGAAAUCCCCGGGCUCAACCUGGGAACUGCAUUUGUGACUGUAUAGCUAGAGUACGGUAGAGGGGGAUGGAAUUCCGCGUGUAGCAGUGAAAUGCGUAGAUAUGCGGAGGAACACCGAUGGCGAAGGCAAUCCCCUGGACCUGUACUGACGCUCAUGCACGAAAGCGUGGGGAGCAAACAGGAUUAGAUACCCACGUAGUCCCUGAGCGGGCUGGCAAGGCGCAU